RNAcentral lists this ribosomal RNA (497 nucleotides) under uncultured bacterium. Its description in RNAcentral is "partial 16S ribosomal RNA". It matches the Rfam family "Bacterial small subunit ribosomal RNA", at positions 28 to 507 of the family's 1533-position model. The record is from RNAcentral.
GAUGAACGCUGGCGGCGUGCCUAAUACAUGCAAGUCGAGCGAACGGACGAGAAGCUUGCUUCUCUGAUGUUAGCGGCGGACGGGUGAGUAACACGUGGAUAACCUACCUAUAAGACUGGGAUAACUUCGGGAAACCGGAGCUAAUACCGGAUAAUAUUUUGAACCGCAUGGUUCAAAAGUGAAAGACGGUCUUGCUGUCACUUAUAGAUGGAUCCGCGCUGCAUUAGCUAGUUGGUAAGGUAACGGCUUACCAAGGCAACGAUGCAUAGCCGACCUGAGAGAGUGAUCGGCCACACUGGAACUGAGACACGGUCCAGACUCCUACGGGAGGCAGCAGUAGGGAAUCUUCCGCAAAGGGCGAAAGCCUGACGGAGCAACGCCGCGUGAGUGAUGAAGGUCUUCGGAUCGUAAAACUCUGUUACUAGGGAAGAACAUAUGUGUAAGUAACUGUGCACAUCUUGACGGUACCUAAUCAGAAAGCCACGGCUAACUACGUG